This 232-nucleotide signal recognition particle RNA is filed under the name Otolemur garnettii (small-eared galago). RNAcentral's name for it is "Metazoan signal recognition particle RNA". It matches the Rfam family "Metazoan signal recognition particle RNA". Rfam says of the family: The signal recognition particle (SRP) is a universally conserved ribonucleoprotein. It is involved in the co-translational targeting of proteins to membranes. Lineage: Eukaryota; Metazoa; Chordata; Mammalia; Primates; Galagidae. The record is from Rfam by way of RNAcentral.
GCCGGAUGUGGUGGUAUGUGCCUGUAGUCCCGGCUACUUGGGAGGCUGAGACAGGAGAGGAGGAUUGCUUGAGUCCAGGAGUUCUGGGCUGUAGUGUGCUAUGCUGAUUGGGUGUCUGCACUAAGUUUGGUAUCAAUAUGGUGAGCUCCUGACCUGCUGAUCAGUAGUGGGAUUGUGCUAGUGAAUAGUCACUGCAUUCUAGCCUGGGCAACAUAGUAAGACCCUGACUUAA